AAAAAGGUGAUGCCUGUCACCUUUGCCUACUUAGAGGGUUCUGAUUUAAUUGGUCUGGGUGGAGGUUAGUCAUCAGUAGUUUUAAAAAGCUCCCCAGGUGAUUCUAAAGUGAGCCAAAUUGUGAAGCACGGGCCUGAGAGCAGCUUUGGGCAGCUCUGCUCUCUUAGACCAUUUGGCUGGCAGGGGCUGGGGAGUCAGACACAGACCUGGCUCCUGGCUUCAGAUCCCUGUGACUACCAAAGAUGCUCACAGCAGGGUUAGCUGUGCUUGGAGACAGGGUAGGUGCAGAUACACCAAAAUAGGAGGCUACUCUGUAAUUCAGGUGAGAGAUGAAGAGACAGACUCCACCCCUAGUAGUGGAGAAGAAGUGGAUUUGAGAGAUAUUUAGGAAAUAAAAUCAAUACAUCUUGAUAAUGGAUUGGAUAUGUUGGGUGAAGGAGGAGAUGUAAAAAAAUUUAUUGAUCAAAUAUCGAUUGAAUACAUACUCUGUGACAGCCACAUUAUCUUCUAGAAACUGAGGGAUAUAGAUUGUCACUGUUUCCACUGUAUCAGUGAAUGGCUGGUGAUCCCUGAAAUGGGAGACCUUUGAAAAAUAUGUUUUCAACUGUUCUUUUACUGAUGUAUAUUUAAAUGGUUUUAAGUGUUUGUAUAUAUAGACAGACACACACAUGUUUAGUGCUAUUACACACAAUGAAAUAGUAAGCAAUUUCCUCUAAAUUAGGUAUAAUUGAUAUACAGCAUUAUGUUGACUCCAGGUGUACAACAUAAUGAUUUGAUAUUUGUAUUGUGAAACGGUCACCCCAAUAAGUCUAGUUAAUAUUGGUUACCAGAUAUAGUCACCAGAAUUUUUUUCUUGGGUUGAGAAGUUUUAAAAUUUACUCUCUCAGUAACUUUGAAAAAUAUGCAAUACAGUGUUAUUAA
This 921-nucleotide long non-coding RNA is filed under the name Capra hircus (goat). Its description in RNAcentral is "lncRNA (ENSCHIG00010004142.1)". The record is from RNAcentral. Lineage: Eukaryota; Metazoa; Chordata; Mammalia; Artiodactyla; Bovidae.